UCUGCAUUUUUAACACAGCUGAAAAACCGACUGGGGGUCCAGCAACAGGUGUAACAGAACAGAGGAAUUGUCGCAUGAGAAACACUGAAGAGCAGCCAAGCUGUACCAGCUUGGUUCAACAGGCUGUACCUGGAGUAAAAAAGAGACUUGAAGACAAGGCCAGAAUACAGACUGCAUGAAAUUCUCAAUGUAUUGGAAGACUAAUAAAAUCUGCAUUAAUUCCAGAAGAAACAAAUCUGCAAGAGGACAUACAUUUAGAUGACCAAGCUGGUUUCCAUUUCUGACUGUCCUGAUGCUUUGAACAGUUAUUUUAAAGCGAGUUGAAAAGAAGACUUGUCAAAAGAAAAUUUA
Corvus hawaiiensis (hawaiian crow) is the source of this 351-nucleotide long non-coding RNA. RefSeq lists it as uncharacterized. NCBI's taxonomy places the organism in Eukaryota, Metazoa, Chordata, Aves, Passeriformes, Corvidae. The record is from RefSeq and is a predicted model, not a curated record. The transcript has 4 exons.